GUGUUCGUAGAAAGGAGAGAUGGUUUGCAUCUCCCCCCGACAGGGAUGGGAAUAGCCUUCAGGCUUUACCUGUUACCACACAUCCGGUUAAGGCUUAACACUUCGGUGGAUCUUACCCCAAAUUUUC
This is a small nuclear RNA of Solanum stenotomum, 127 nucleotides long. Lineage: Eukaryota; Viridiplantae; Streptophyta; Magnoliopsida; Solanales; Solanaceae. The record is from RefSeq and is a predicted model, not a curated record.